This is a non-coding RNA of Pelobates cultripes (western spadefoot toad), 292 nucleotides long. The record is from the annotation of a GenBank genome assembly. NCBI's taxonomy places the organism in Eukaryota, Metazoa, Chordata, Amphibia, Anura, Pelobatidae.
UCUAGCUUCCAUGAUCGGCGACGCCAAGGCCCCAUGGGACUUUCCAGUAUGUGCCCUGCAAGUGCCGACUACAGGAGUAGGCUGACUUUCACUGACUCUCACUGCCGCACUGCGGCCGGGACUGCUGUCAUGCCACCACAUCCAUGCAGUUAUAGAGGACUAUGUCUCGCAAUAUUUUCAAGCCUGACCUCCCUGAAACAGACUAACGUUAGCAAUGUUAUAACAUGUUUUUACAGCGUAGAAUAGCCCGAAUAUUAAUCGUAUGCCAUAUCCUUUCAUGUUGAACUAUGUC